Molecule: RNA transcript, 5550 nt
Organism: Numida meleagris (helmeted guineafowl)
Lineage: Eukaryota; Metazoa; Chordata; Aves; Galliformes; Numididae
Gene name: RING finger protein 151-like
Exons: 9
Source: RefSeq, a predicted model, not a curated record
GUACCGGUGGCUGCAAAAGUAACCUCGCCCUUUUUGCGACAGCGGGCUGAGGGGCGGUGGCAGCCCUGAGGGACUGAGGCGGUCAGCGGCGGGAGGCCUGGGCGGGCUCGGUCCUCGCAGCGACCGUUACACCCGUUAACGGGCGUUACACCUGCAGCGGUCGUCUUGUGGCGGGCCGGAGCGUUGCGCGGGGAUCGGCUGCUGCAUGCGGGCCUGGUGCUGCGGAGCGCCGUGCCCGUGCUCACAGGGCCCGAGGAGGCGGCGGGAAGAUGCCGAUUUGGCACCUGCAAAUUCCAGGUUUCCAUGGUGACAACAUUGCUGGUAAUUGCCAGGUGAUGGGAAGAAUUCGGGACUGGAGGAACCAGACAGGGCAAGAUUUGGAAAUGUCAGUGGAGUGUGAGAAGGCAUAAUAAAGCAGUGAAGAGAAACUGAAGGAAGUACUGCAUGUCUUGCUCCUGAGAAAACUGAUUCUGAAGUAAUUGGGCAAAAUAGGUAUAUAUGUAGUAAAAUCUAAAAAGGCUGAAAGUGUGUGGAAAGCAUGGGUUACGAUAUUGAACGUUUUGUUGGCUACGUUAAUGAAGGGCUCUUAUGCUCCAUCUGCCGUGAUGUGUUGGAAGAUCCGCUACAGGCUCCUUGUGAGCACGCUUUCUGUACUGCUUGUAUACAUGGGUGGCUUGUUCAUCACAGUAACUGCCCUGAAGACAGACAAGUGAUUGAUGUGUCUGUGCUACGACCUCUGUACAGAUACAUGAAAAAUGAUCUAAACCGUCUUCAGCUACAUUGCAAAAACAGAGAGUAUGGCUGUGAAAUGGUUUGCUCUCUAGAGUCUAUAGACCGGCAUGAGAGGGAGUGUGAAUACAGUCAGAUACCGUGCUCCAAUGCUGGCUGUACAGUUCAGAUUGAGCGCCGUAACCUUGAUGGCCACUUGGCAGUGUGUGAAUAUCGGAGCCGCGAGUGCCCCAAUGGUUGUGGUUACACCAUUCUCAGUGCAGAAGACACACAGCAUAAUUGUGUAGCAGAGCUGAGGACGGAGCUAGAACUUCUUCGGUCAGAAAUGAUCUGCAGAGUGGAGGAAGCAAAGCAUGAGAUGGAAUCAAGGUUGGAUUCACAGAGAAGACAUAUGGUCCAAAAAGAGAGUGUUCUGCAAAAUGAAAUCGAAGAGCUCAAGAGUCAGAUGUCACGAGUGAUGUCGGAUGUACGUUCCCUCAUGGCUGCAGAGAGACAGCAUCGACAAGAACUGGAGCAAGCGGAGCUGGAGAAACGGGAGCUAAUGGAGCUGCUGAGGGGGCUGCAGAAGGACUGUCGCUUAAGUACUGCAGAAGGAAGCAGGAAGACAACAAACUUCCGCCCGCUGACGCGACUAGAGAGUGCAAAACGAAAACCGAGGGAAGUUACAGUUAUCUAAACAGAAGUAAGCUCAACAAGCAUCUCUUAGUUUCUGUGACCAUCUGGCAAACUUUUCUACUCUCCAUGAAUGACUGGUAGAUCGUUUCUGAUUUGCUCACUUUCUUUUUCAAAGCUCUCUUUCCUCUUGGGCCACAGAAACAAAUGGGAGAGUUUUUUCAUAUGGAAUGUGGAGCGUUAAACCUAUCUGUAGGAGGUAUAUUUCAAAGGUGAAAAGAGAGCACUUUAAAUUCCAAUUCUGCUGCUGUGUAAGAGCUUCAAGUGAAGAUGACUUAACCUCAGAGCUUCUCUAACUUCCAAGGAUUGAGAGAUACACACUUAAGAGAUAUGUACCAAAGCCCAAGGUAAUAGCAUCACCUAGAAACUUCUACAUAGAUCUGUGUGUAGCUUGGAGUUUGAGGGACGAGGUCUUGCAUUUUACGUAAUUAUUUGGAGAUUUUCUUUGUGAAGGUAUCGGAUUUCUACCAGGUCCUUUAAACCUCAGUUCAGUCCAUUCAGUACUCAAUAUCUUUAAGAGAGACAUAAGUACUUUGGUAGAGCAUCUCUAAUUUUCUUUUGGCUGAUUUAAGGCUAUUUGUACAUCAGUAUCCACAACAGAGGGCUAUUUGCAGAGUGGCUUGGACGUGGAAUGUUUUUAUUAGGACUCAAGUCUGCAGCUGUGUAAGAGCUCGGACUUUACAACAGAUGGACAAAUACUGAAUUAAGGGGGCAUGUCCCUGUAAAGACUCUAAUAUUCAUGAGAAAUCUGUACAGUUUGAAGACUUUUCUCUAUACUUCUUACAAAGCCUGUUUGUGUUGAUUUGAGUGCUAUAACUAAGCCAUAUUCUGUCUCCUGGUGCAGCUCUUCAGUGGAAUAACUAGGGAAAAACCUGGCCUCCUGCUUACUGAGUACGCUACAUCAGUUUUCAGGAAAGCUGAGUGCAGGCACAACCGUCUUAAUAAACCUGUUCUCUAGUUUAGAAAACAAGUACAUUUCUGGGUCUAAUUUCCUAUCACUAAGAGCAACACUUUUAUGGCUAAAAACAUAACCAAAGAGAGAGACUGCAAUCUUCUUUAGCACAUAUUCUACAUUAGAAGGACUUGUGGUCAGUUUUCUUUAUUUCGGGCAUUAAUAAAUCCUUCUGACUCGCUGUUCCUUCCGUGCAGCUGAAACAACUGCACACAUCUUCAGUUUUUAUGCAUUUAAAACUAACAAACAACUCUCCUGAAAAGGUUUUGUUUUGUUUUUUGAAGCUAUUCACGGGAAGAGCUAUGACCAAAUAUUUAUUUGGUUUUCACUUCACUCUUUUUAUAUCCUAGAUUGAACUACAAUCAUCGACAUGAUUUAGGUCAUUAUUAGCAGUCUCUUCCAGUUUGUGACAUAGCACCUCUCUUAAGCAGCCAUACUGAACAAAGUGAAGCAGUAGCUAUAAUUUGGGAAGACCUUCAUUCACACCAAACAUUCAGUGGUCGAUUCACAUAUAUCAGCGUGCAGAUUAGAGCUGCAGAUAGAAACUAAGAAUGCUUUUAUUAACUUGUGUUCUAGUUAAAGCUUUAGUGUCUGGUUUUUUCUUUGGUGACAACUGUUUCAACAUUCACACUAAUUUUGAAGCUUCUUAGCAACACCAGAUUUCAUGCUCUUAGGAUCAGUAUACGUGCAGGAUGUGUUUUCCUGUGUUCUGUAAUUGUGUGGUUGUGUGUUGUGACUUCAUCUAUCUUGCUUAAUGUGAAAGAAGAAAAUUCCUUCAAAAUCCUAUGGAACUCAGAUGAGCUGGAUCGUCUUUCCUGAAUUGGAGCACAGUUAUAAUAUUUUCCAUUCUGAACAGGAAAAAAACAAGGAACUAGCUUUGUGCUUUUCUCUUAACAGGAUCUCUGUGUUGGUUCUAAGAAUUUCACCCACUGAUUUUAUCAGUGAAUUCCUUCUAGUAUAGGAGAAAGGGUUUAUUUAACACUUGCUUUGCAAUUGGGCUACUCUUUGUCCCCUAAGUGACACACAUGGACUUGCGUGAGAAAACACAUCUUAAGAGGUAAGGGCUGACUUUCUGCUGCACAAUCUAUGGAGCUUCUGUUUACCAGCUCUGCAGAGUCUGAACUUCCAGUGUUAAAACGGGGCGAUGCUUUGAGCCCACUUGCUGCUGGAAUGACCUGUCAGCUUGGGUCUCCUCGAGCUGAAAGAAAGCACAAAGGUAUUUUAAAUGGGGUUAUACUACCCGGUAGCAAGUGGUUCCUUCUGGCUAUUUAAGACUGACCCUGCUCCUCAGUGAUGAUAACUGUUCUGCACUUCAGAUGUUCCUCUGCUAGCGAACUGCACACAGGGCAGUGUAUGUUAAAUGAAAUGAAAUAGCUCAUUAUAAUAAUAUUUUAUCUAGUUCUACUUUUUCCAGUCUCAUGUAUUACACAGCUGAUAAUAGCAGCUACCAGAAGCAAGGAAUUUUUUUUCUUUCAAAUUCUUAUAAAAGGAUUAAGUCAUGGUCCAAAUAUUGUAGUAGACAGUGUAAGUGAAGGUGCUCACUUAGAAGUGCUUCUUGUGACUGGGAACAAGGAUGUUAAAUAUUCUCAUAGUACAUCACAAUGUAACAAAUUCCAUUUCCUCACAGUUGGAACUGUGCUGAGAGCACACUGAACAGUUACUCGAGUGGACCUGUAGCCACCCAAGCAGCUGUACUUGGCAGCUACAACAGAGAGCAAAGUUUGUUGAGGGGGAGACGGGAAAGAACUUCAGGCUGUCUGUCUGCAGAAGCUCAGCCUGAGAGCAGUGAUGCAGCAACAGCAGCCUCUGAAGCAUCUGGCUUACCAACAUCGACUGCUGCCUUGGGGCAUCACUAUUAACGUACCAUUAGAAUUAAAGGGAGAUUGUCUUUGUUCCCAACUAAAUGCAAUAGUACCAAACCUGCAAGAAUCUCAGACAAAACUCAGAGAGAGCAAGUUAUUAAGUGAGAUUACAAGGAGCAAAUCCUUAUCCUACAUUAAAUUGGGUGAAAAUAAAGAGUAAGGAUAUAUUUUAAGACAUUAACACUUUUAAAGUGAGUGGAAAGUUUGGCUUUGAAAGAAAAAUCAACAUUUACCUAAUUAUUCUGAAGACUCGUAAGACACCAGUUAAAAGUAUUUUGAAAUUAGUUCUUAAACUGAACUUGAGGGGUCAAAUUCAAGCCAAAAUACUGCUUCCUCAGUUUCCUUUAUGGUUAAAGCUACGUUCCCAUUCUCCUGCACUCCUCCCAAAGCCAAGUCAGUGGUCUCAGUCAGGGUUGAACCAUUGCUCAUAGGAUUACUUUACUUGGAAAUAGUUGGGAGCGCUUCCAGUAAGUUUAGCUGACUUGGAAUGGAGAACCAUGCAUCUGAGUCAGAUGCAGGAGUUGCAAAGCAGAAUUCUGCUGGUCUUGCUCAUAAAGAUGACAGGUUUUAGAACAACUCUAGUACUAGAUUAACAGUCCUUCAUGAGGUUUGCUUAACACUGUGGAAUCACAGAAUGGCUGAGGUUAGCAUGGAAUUCUGGAGGCCAUCUGAUCCAAGCCCCUGCUGGAGCAUGGACACCCAGAGCAGGGUGCCCAGGGCUGUGUCCACAAAUACGGGAGUCUCUUGUCAGGGCAGAACGGAAUGGAAUUGCAUAUUAAAGCAAAAUACCUAGUACAAUGGAGAAUUUUGACUGGGAAGAAGUGUUUAAGUCUCAAAUGCUUUUAAGUGUUAGGCGCUUUUAAGAAAUUCAGUGCGUUAAUAGACCUCAAUUCCUAGGAUAUAUAAUACAGACAGUCUCACAAAUCAGAUUUUCCAUACAUUUCCCUCUUGGAUGUUUCUGGUAUGGUGCUUUUCUACAGCUGUCUUACUUACUUAAAAGUGCUGGAUAAUAUUUAAAAGGAGCAGUGCUGGCCUUUCCUUUCUUGUGUACUGCUCACAGGAUGAAGUAUGGUAGGUCAGGGAGAUUUUACCACAGACAGAUGCCUUUAUAAAGACCUACAAUUCUAUGCAACUUUAUAUAUAAACAAAUAAACACUGAAUUGUCUUCCAGCAUAUGGUUCACUGCCAGCCUAGUUACAUUUUCUACCUUUAUAAAUACAAGGGUAAAACAGUGCUUAACAGACCUUAAUCUCUAGUCUGUAAAAGAAACAGUAUUUGUAUCACUUUGAAGUACAGUUUGUAUAAAAGUUGAACUAAUAAAGGGUUAUACCAUAA